UGAGGGAAAGGCGAAAAGAACCCCGGCGAGGGGAGUGAAAAAGAACCUGAAACCGUGUACGUACAAGCAGUGGGAGCACCCUUCGGGGUGUGACUGCGUACCUUUUGUAUAAUGGGUCAGCGACUUAUAUUCUGUAGCAAGGUUAACCGUAUAGGGGAGCCGGAGGGAAACCGAGUCUUAAUUGGGCGUUAAGUUGCAGGGUAUAGACCCGAAACCCGGUGAUCUAG
Molecule: ribosomal RNA, 227 nt
Filed under: Salmonella enterica
Lineage: Bacteria; Pseudomonadati; Pseudomonadota; Gammaproteobacteria; Enterobacterales; Enterobacteriaceae
Also listed under: 13 other names
Description: partial 23S ribosomal RNA
Rfam family: Bacterial large subunit ribosomal RNA
Source: RNAcentral